RNAcentral lists this ribosomal RNA (95 nucleotides) under Oxytropis campestris. RNAcentral's name for it is "partial 18S ribosomal RNA". It matches the Rfam family "Eukaryotic small subunit ribosomal RNA", at positions 1737 to 1831 of the family's 1831-position model. Lineage: Eukaryota; Viridiplantae; Streptophyta; Magnoliopsida; Fabales; Fabaceae. RNAcentral also lists the same sequence under 2 other names. The record is from RNAcentral.
CCGCGACGUUGUGAGAAGUCCACUGAACCUUAUCAUUUAGAGGAAGGAGAAGUCGUAACAAGGUUUCCGUAGGUGAACCUGCGGAAGGAUCAUUG